This 253-nucleotide ribosomal RNA is filed under the name uncultured bacterium. RNAcentral describes it as "partial 16S ribosomal RNA". It matches the Rfam family "Bacterial small subunit ribosomal RNA", at positions 524 to 776 of the family's 1533-position model. The record is from RNAcentral.
UACGUAGGGUGCGAGCGUUAAUCGGAAUUACUGGGCGUAAAGGGCGCGUAGGCGGCCUUCUAAGUCGAACGUGAAAUCCCCGGGCUCAACCCGGGAACUGCGUCCGAUACUGGAAGGCUUGAAUCCGGGAGAGGAAUGCGGAAUUCCAGGUGUAGCGGUGAAAUGCGUAGAUAUCUGGAGGAACACCGGUGGCGAAGGCGGCAUUCUGGACUGCAACUGACACUGAAAGACGAAAGCCAGGGGAGCAAACGGG